AUUGACCUCGAAUCAGGUAGGGAUACCCGCUGAACUUAAGCAUAUCAAUAAGCGGAGGAAAAGAAACCAACAGGGAUUG
RNAcentral lists this ribosomal RNA (79 nucleotides) under Sclerostagonospora sulcata. RNAcentral describes it as "partial 28S ribosomal RNA". It matches the Rfam family "Eukaryotic large subunit ribosomal RNA", at positions 1 to 77 of the family's 3401-position model. The record is from RNAcentral. Lineage: Eukaryota; Fungi; Ascomycota; Dothideomycetes; Pleosporales; Phaeosphaeriaceae.